AGGAGGAACAGCCCCAGUGGCGGGGCAGCUCUGGAAACCUUGAUUCAGCUCCGGCAGGAACUCCGUCUGCAGGGCCUGGAGGCUCCGGGGCGGG
RNAcentral lists this microRNA precursor (94 nucleotides) under Canis lupus familiaris (dog). RNAcentral describes it as "mir-8834 microRNA precursor family". It matches the Rfam family "mir-8834 microRNA precursor family". RNAcentral also lists the same sequence under 1 other name. The record is from Rfam by way of RNAcentral. Lineage: Eukaryota; Metazoa; Chordata; Mammalia; Carnivora; Canidae.